GCCCUCGUAGCCCAACGGUAGAGGCACGGUCGUGAGGCGGCCGUCAGCGCACGUUCGAAUCGUGUCGGGGGCACCA
RNAcentral lists this transfer RNA (76 nucleotides) under Micromonospora parathelypteridis. Its description in RNAcentral is "tRNA-Leu". The record is from RNAcentral. Lineage: Bacteria; Bacillati; Actinomycetota; Actinomycetes; Micromonosporales; Micromonosporaceae.